This 253-nucleotide ribosomal RNA is filed under the name uncultured bacterium. Its description in RNAcentral is "partial 16S ribosomal RNA". It matches the Rfam family "Bacterial small subunit ribosomal RNA", at positions 524 to 776 of the family's 1533-position model. The record is from RNAcentral.
UACGGAGGUGGCGAGCGUUGUUCGGAAUCACUGGGCGUAAAGGGCGCGUAGGCGGGGUCGGAAGUCGGGUGUGAAAGCCCCGGGCUCAACCCGGGAACGGCGCCCGAGACUCUGGCUCUUGAGUCCCGGAGAGGCGGGUGGAAUUCCUGGUGUAGCGGUGAAAUGUGUAGAGAUCAGGAGGAACACCGGUGGCGAAGGCGGCAUCCUGGACCGACAUUGACGCUGAGGCGCGAAAGCCAGGGGAGCAAACGGG